ACACCUUGUCCUUAGUUACCAGCACGUUAUGGUGGGCACUCUAAGGAGACUGCCGGUGACAAACCGGAGGAAGGUGGGGAUGACGUCAAGUCAUCAUGGCCCUUACGGCCUGGGCUACACACGUGCUACAAUGGUCGGUACAAAGGGUUGCCAAGCCGCGAGGUGGAGCUAAUCCCAUAAAACCGAUCGUAGUCCGGAUCGCAGUCUGCAACUCGACUGCGUGAAGUCGGAAUCGCUAGUAAUCGUGAAUCAGAAUGUCACGGUGAAUACGUUCCCGGGCCUU
RNAcentral lists this ribosomal RNA (283 nucleotides) under uncultured Pseudomonas sp. Its description in RNAcentral is "partial 16S ribosomal RNA". It matches the Rfam family "Bacterial small subunit ribosomal RNA", at positions 1098 to 1382 of the family's 1533-position model. Lineage: Bacteria; Pseudomonadati; Pseudomonadota; Gammaproteobacteria; Pseudomonadales; Pseudomonadaceae. The record is from RNAcentral.